RNAcentral lists this non-coding RNA (116 nucleotides) under Clostridium sp. Its description in RNAcentral is "FMN sequence". It matches the Rfam family "FMN riboswitch aptamer (RFN element)". Rfam says of the family: The RFN element is a highly conserved domain that is found frequently in the 5'-untranslated regions of prokaryotic mRNAs that encode for flavin mononucleotide (FMN) biosynthesis and transport proteins. This element is a metabolite-dependent riboswitch that directly binds FMN in the absence of proteins. The record is from RNAcentral. Lineage: Bacteria; Bacillati; Bacillota; Clostridia; Eubacteriales; Clostridiaceae.
GAUAUUCUUCAGGGCAGGGUUAAUUUCCCUACCGGCGGUAUAGCCGCGAGCCUUUUAUGGCAUGAUUCGGUGAAACUCCGAGGCCGACAGUAAAGUCUGGAUAAAAGAAGAAAUAA